RNAcentral lists this long non-coding RNA (2579 nucleotides) under Olea europaea subsp. europaea. Lineage: Eukaryota; Viridiplantae; Streptophyta; Magnoliopsida; Lamiales; Oleaceae. The record is from RNAcentral.
GUAUGAAUCCACUAUAAACAAACACAACUUACAAUACCACCAAACUAGAGCAACACACGUUCUUUUUGACCUCUUGUACUGUAAUUCCCAAAGUCCUCCUGGAUUGCGUGCUCCUGUACCAACUCCCGACUUUUGAUCUCGUCUAUCUCCAGUGGAUUCCUCGAGAACUUCCCGUUCUCCAACAACCGGAACUCCGGUCACUUUUUUCGAUCUUCAAUCUUUGACAGAUCCUCUGGAAGCUUUUGGUUUUGGUGUUUGAAUUUCAAGUUUUGAUGUUUUUCAGUCGCCAAAAUUAAUGAAAAAUGGAUUGUAUGUUUUUAAAGGAAAUGUUUUCUCACAAUGGACAAUCAAGGCUUUUUAGUGAAAUGGCACAAAUAUUUAUAUGUUGGACGUUUUGGGUAGUUUGAAUGUGUUAAAACUCUCGAAGAAUGAAAAUUAGGAUUUUAUGGGUAACACUGUCGCUCGAGCAACUGUUCAACGAAAAGCUAGCGACGGUCUUUCGCUUGAACGAGGGCUUGGCGAGAAGUUAGGAACAUCCGUUUUGUUUGUGUCGCUCGAAUAGUGUGCUGGUGAAGAUCAAGCGAAAGUGCGACGAUACUUCUUUCCUUGUUUCGAAGUUAAACCCUAACCUACCAAUUAUUUUUAUACAAAAUUACAUGACUCCUCGACUUUUAGACUAUUUCAAUUUGACCCUUUCUGUUCACAGAAUAGCUAAUUACAAUUAAAUCUAACAAACUUCCCUUUUGACAUUCUGCGACAAAACAUACAUUACAUCAAAAGUUACUAACAAUACUACCCAAAACUACAGACUCAAUUGCCUCUUGGUUUGCAUAUAUCAAACAUGUUUCCUGAAAUCACAACACAUAUCCAAUGUAAAAAAGCACGUGAAAUAGUAUCAUAGAUAAAAAGAGUUAAAGACAAUUAUAAAUAGAUGCACAAUCACAUUAACUAGAUUAAGAUACAAUAUUAAUGUAAGCCAAACAGCCAAAAACAACAUAUAUUAAUAUUGCCAAAACAUCAAAAACUUAAUCUAGAUAUGUGUGCCAAAUAAUCAUAAAAAAAUGUGUCAUCCAAUAUCACAAAUCGAAAUAUCCAAUAUCAACACUUCCACAGCCACUCCCCAUUUUGUCGCAAAUGAGAAAGGAAACCUUAUCAACUAUCAUCAGCAGCAUCGUCACCAUCAUCUGCAUUAUCUGAGUCAUCGUUAUCGUCGCCGUCACAGUCCCAAUGCUUGCGCAUCCACCUAAUGCCACGUUGAACAUAAGCUAUCGCUCCACGAAGUGUAGCGAACUCCGUGGUGUAAAGCUCUGAGGCAACUCUCAACUACGUGAUCUCGACCAUCAUACGAGCCUGCUGCUUGAUGAGCACUGAUGUUUGACCCAUAGGAGCAACUGAUGGAUCAAUGGGAAUCGAGGAAUUCCCAAGUAUAGAUUCAACUGAAGGAGGUGGAACAGAAGUAGAUGACGAUGGGAAAUCAGAAAGAAUAGAUGGCUGAGAAGUAGAAGCAGGAAUAUGUGAAGGACUAGUAGAAGAGGUAUCACAAAUGGGAUCAGCAGGCACUGCCAGGUCAGCUGGCUCUACUGACUCUGUAGGAGCGAAAGACAAAGGGACAUGUGAUCGACUCUGAGAUAUGGUAACCUGACCUAUAGGUCAACUGAUACAUCGUGAAACCCCGUCAAGAAAAGUGACUCCCAUGGAAAUAACAAGAUGAUGAAUCAAACAGGCAUAAAAGAGACCUAUCAUAUGACCUGGGACUCGAAACAUGCGCAAAAUGUGAUGACAGAUGAAUUUGGGCAAGUUAAUUGAGUCACCAUGUAAUAAGGCAUACAAAAACCUUGCCUUCUCCAUAGGCAAGGACGAAGUAUGUGAAACAGGCCAAGGAUUCGUGGACAUAAUCCUAAUGUGGAUUGUAGUAGGACCACCCCUAAAGGGCAGUUGAACAGUGUUGACCGAACAAGAGAGUCAGCCGGAAGGGUCUUAGCAAAAAGAUAGGGAAAAUGGGAUGAACAACUCGUGGAAUGUGCAAGGUGCUAGAGAAGACAUCGUUUGAAAUCCUAAUAGUCGUACCUAUAAGAAAACCCUAAACGAUGAUUCGCAUAUCUCAUGAAUAUUUGCAUAGAAUUCUUGAACUAGGAAACUAGACGGUGGAGAAAGGACCAUCAGCAGUGGCUCCCACCCUCGGGAAGUGAACAUGGCAGCCAAGUUGGGAGAGAGGUUGAAGAGAAUUACCUCACGCUCGAAAAGAACAAGGCAACAAGAGAACUGAGACUCGAAGACAUCGUGAGAAGUGGAUGAGAUGAAACUAGUCCUACUAUAGGAGGUCGAUCUACCGGAUGCCUGUGUAGAAGUCCGAGCUCGCUUAGGUAGUAUUUGACAUAAAAGGCAUGUGCAAAUGAUCAGAAGUAGAAACCAGUAUUAUAUAACCCUCGUAGACCACCUAAAACAUGAUAUGCAUAAACUAUGCAACAAAGUGCAACAACCCAUACAACGAUGCAAAACAGUUUAAGACACGUAAAACUAUAAACAAAGUGCAAAAACACUCAAAACGAUGCAAAAUAGUGUAAGGCACACAAAACUAU